CAACUUACUACACACUAUACUCAAAUGAAUAUAAAUCAAACUUCUGCCCCCUCCUCCUCAACCUCCAACCUUCUCUUCAACCUCCAACUUCCAACCCUCCAAUCCCGCCUUUGAGAGAAUUUAGGGUAUCUCUCUGUACAGAAAUGGCGUUCGCUAGUCGCAUCAAAUCAACUAUCUCUGUCCUCACCAAGCUCUCAAGAACUUAUACCGCUGCAUCAGGGAGAAAUGAAGGAAAAGUGAAGGUGCCUAUUGCUUUGUUUGGAGGGUCUGGAAACUAUGCCUCUGCUCUGUAUCCAGCUGCAAUAAAAGCUAAUUCUUUAGACAAGGUGGAAUUUGAACUUGUUAACCUUGUCCAAGCUGUUAAGAAAAGCCCUACAUUUUCUCAGUUCACAAUGGACCUGUCAAUUCCAGCGAAAACUAGAGUUAAGGCAUUGUAGAGAACUUUUUGGUUGUCCUGGCUGAGAAUGGGAGGCUGAGAUAUGUAGAUAGCAUAGCAAAGAAAUUCUUGGAGUUGACCAUGGCUCAUAGGGGAGAAGUUAAAGCCAUUGUUACAACUGUUAUUCCCAUUCCAGCACAAGAAGAGAAAGAAUUGAAGGAGACAAUGCAAGAUAUAAUUGGACAAGGCAAGAAGGUUAAGCUCGAGCAGAAGAUCGAUCCCAACAUCCUUGGUGGUCUAGUUGUAGAAUUUGGCGAGAAGGUGUUUGAUAUGUCCAUUAAAACACGGGCACUUCAAAUAAAGGUUCUUGCGCCAACCUGUAACUCUUGAUGGUCUGUGAAAAGGUGUUUAACUUCUGUGGCACCAUGUCAUCAUCUGCAGCUAAUCGUCACUUUGUCAUCCAUGUUAAUAGACAAAGACAUUUCCCUUUUUUCCCCCAUUCUUUGUUGGUUUUUACCCAAACUUGUUAUUGAUUAUGAUGGUAUACAAUCAUGUAGGUGGAAAUAAGAGUGUCGGCUUUCUAUGUGAAUUAUAAUAGUGGCAAAUUUUAUGUUUAUCAAUGGUAUUGCAAGCUAAUGGCUCUAUAUCUCCUUA
RNA transcript from Cucumis sativus (cucumber), 1030 nucleotides. It is a transcript of the gene named ATP synthase subunit O, mitochondrial, with no coding region annotated. The transcript is spliced from 6 exons. The record is from RefSeq and is a predicted model, not a curated record. NCBI's taxonomy places the organism in Eukaryota, Viridiplantae, Streptophyta, Magnoliopsida, Cucurbitales, Cucurbitaceae.